AAAACUCCCAGACCCGCAGCGAGCGCAACGAUCGCCAGCAGGAAAAGCUUCCGAAACAUGAGUGCCCCCAGAGAAAACGGCAGGAACUAAACGGCCUCGGCCAGUGUUCAAUCGGUAUUGGAAAGCCAAAAACUAAGGGAGAAAACGAUGAACAGCAAAGCAAUUGCGCUUGGAGUCCUUGCCAUCGGCGCUUGCGUCGCACUCAGCGGGCCGGCUUUCGCCGAGAAAAUCAGCAUGAAGGCCAAUCUGACCAGUGCCGCCGAGGUGCCUGCNCCUCCCAACACCAGCCCAGGCAAAGGCACGGCCGACGUGACGUACGAUACCGCAAGCAAGA
This 334-nucleotide unclassified non-coding RNA is filed under the name Hevea brasiliensis (rubber tree). The record is from RNAcentral. Lineage: Eukaryota; Viridiplantae; Streptophyta; Magnoliopsida; Malpighiales; Euphorbiaceae.